Molecule: ribosomal RNA, 301 nt
Filed under: uncultured bacterium
Lineage: Bacteria
Description: partial 16S ribosomal RNA
Rfam family: Bacterial small subunit ribosomal RNA
Source: RNAcentral
CAGUAGCCGCGGGAAUACGGAGGGCGCGAGCGUUACCCGGAUUUACUGGGCGUAAAGGGCGUGUAGGCGGCCUGGGGCGUCCCAUGUGAAAGGCCACGGCUCAACCGUGGAGGAGCGUGGGAUACGCUCAGGCUAGAGGGUGGGAGAGGGUGGUGGAAUUCCCGGAGUAGCGGUGAAAUGCGCAGAUACCGGGAGGAACGCCGAUGGCGAAGGCAGCCACCUGGUCCACUUCUGACGCUGAGGCGCGAAAGCGUGGGGAGCAAACCGGAUUAGAUACCCCUGUAGUCCCUGUCUCUUAUCA